Molecule: long non-coding RNA, 498 nt
Filed under: Nicotiana benthamiana
Lineage: Eukaryota; Viridiplantae; Streptophyta; Magnoliopsida; Solanales; Solanaceae
Description: long non-coding RNA (NBEN_LNC023718)
Source: RNAcentral
GCACUUACAUCCAGCAAUCUCAAACAAGUAGGGACAAGAUUACCUGGAACUCCCCAGGAUACAGCUCCUUCUCCAUCAACGCGGCCUACGAUGUUAUAACUAACCAAGACACCACUAUAGAAGAUAACAACCUAGAUUUUAAGUGGAUCCGAAAAGCAAUACCCAAAACAAAUGAAAUACUUUAUGUGGAUGCUCGUCCUUAAUAGACUUCCAACAGCCACCCUUUUGGCAAAACGAAAUAUAUGCACAUCUGACACUUGCACCAUAUGCAGAGUGGAAAAAGAGGACAUCAAGCAUAUGCUCUUCAACUGUACCCACUCAAAGAAAAUUUGGGGACAAUGUCAUAUAAAGCAUAACUACACCCAAUCGGACAAUAAGCUCACUGCUUACAAUUGGCUAAAGCACAAACUAAAUUUUAACAACUUUGAUAAUCACUACAUCACUUCGCCAGUCUUCUUACCCUUCCUCUUUUGAUACUUAUGGAGUCCUAGAAAUUCC